AGCAGCCGCGGUAAUUCCAGCUCCAAUAGCGUAUAUUAAAGUUGUUGCAGUUAAAAAGCUCGUAGUUGAACUUCAGACCUGGCUGGAUGGUCUGCCUAACGGUAUGUACUGUCUGGCUGGGCCUUACCUCUUGGUGAGCCGGCAUGCCCUUCACUGGGUGUGUCGGGGAACCAGGACUUUUACCUUGAAAAAAUUAGAGUGUUUAAAGCAGGCUCACGCUUGAAUACAUUAGCAUGGAAUAAUGAAAUAGGACGUUUGACUCUAUUUUGUUGGUUUCUAGGAUCGACGUAAUGAUUAAUAGGGAUAGUUGGGGGCAUUAGUAUUCAAUUGUCAGAGGUGAAAUUCUUGGAUUUAUUGAAGACUAACUACUGCGAAAGCAUUUGCCAAGGAUGUUUUCAUUAAUCAAGAACGAAAGUUAGGGGAUCGAAGACGAUCAGAUACCGUCGUAGUCUUAACCAUAAACUAUGCCGACUAGGGAUCGGAUG
Molecule: ribosomal RNA, 485 nt
Filed under: uncultured Paraglomus
Lineage: Eukaryota; Fungi; Glomeromycota; Glomeromycetes; Paraglomerales; Paraglomeraceae
Description: bacterial SSU rRNA
Rfam family: Eukaryotic small subunit ribosomal RNA
Source: RNAcentral